UACAAAUAUAGUUUACCCAAUAUACAUCUUAUGAAUAUGAAUAAAACACAAAAAGUUGAAAACUAUAUGAAGGGAAUAAAUGAUAAGAAGUUGUUCGAGUUACAUAAAAGGAGAGCAGCAUCUCAAGAUAUAGGUCGUAAAAGAUCCUAUAUGGUUAAAACAAAAGUGAGAAAUUAUUAUCAAUUUGAUGAUAAUGAUGAUAAUGAUAAUAAUAAUAAUAUAAUUAACAGUAGUAACACUAAGGAUAGUUUAAAUGUUAACACAAAUACUAAGAAAUAUUAUAAACAAAAUUAUACCGAUCAUGAAAGAGAUACAACAUAUAGAACAGCUAAAAAAAAAACAUAUAAAAGAAAAAUCUUAUGAUAAAAAAGAUUUUUUAAAUUUUUUAACAGUUUUUAAUAAAAAGUUUGCAAACAAAAAUCCAUUUGAUAAUAAUCAUGUUACAAAAAUUAACAAACCGCAGGUUCUUAUUAAAGAACAAACUUAUACUGACAAUGAAAAUGGAUUUACUAAUUCGAAUAAACAAAAUAAAAACCACAUAUGUGAUGUGGAAAAUGUCGAAAAGGGUGACAUAUUCAAGGGAAGAAAUGAAACUGGAAAAAAUGGGACCCAACAUUUGACCCAUAAUGGGACCCAACAUUUGACCCAUAAUGGGACCCAACAUUUGACCAAUAAUGGGACCCAACAUUUGACCAAUAAUGUGACCCAUAAUGUGACCCAUAAUGUCGAUCCAAAUGACAAUAAAACAAAUUUGAAAAAUGCAGAAAACGGUAUAACUGACACAACCAAUAACGUAUACAAACAAACUAACAAUGUAAUUAAAAAUAAGACAGAAGUUGUAGAAGGCACAGGUAAUCAAGGUUUGAUAAAAAAUAAUAAUACUGGUACAGGGACUGCUACAUCUGGUACUAUAACGAAAAUGAUAAAUACACGAAACUUAUCUGUUAUUCAAACAUCACAUAUCCCAUAUGAUGCUCCUUUAGCAGAUUUUUUAGAAAAUGGUAGAUUUAUGCGUACAUUUGAAAAUACUACAUUGAUAGGUCAAGGAGGUUUUGGCUCUGUUUAUAAAGUCUCUCAUCGACUUGAACCUGGUUCUCCAACUUAUGCUGUUAAAUUUAUUUAUUUAAAAGUAAGUUCUUUGGAUAAUGUAAGUUCGAGAAGGUAUUUUCGUGAAAUCGCAGCCAAUAGAGACAUAUAUAGUAAACAUGUCGUUCGAUAUUAUACUUGGUGGUGUGAAGAACCACAGUUUUUACCUUACCACAUUAUGCCUAAAGAGAUUCAGAACAUAAUUAAAAAAAACAAAGGUCAAGCUGAUAAAAUUCAUAAUAAAAAUAAAAAAAUAAAAAAACAGAAUGUUAAUAAUGACAAUAGUUAUGACGAUAAUGGUAGUUUCAGUGAUGGAUUUAAUAGUGAUAUUAGUAGCUAUGUUAGUAGCGACAGUGAUACAUCUUCAUCAUGGGAGAGAGAAAAAAUAAAUGUAAAAAAGAAACUUAAUAAAAAAGAAAUAAAAAAAAAUAAAAAUACAAAUGUUUUAAAAUUUUACAGUGAUGAUAACUAUGAUUUAAAUUUAAAAAAAAGGUUUAGUAACAAAUAUGUUGGUACAAACAAAACCAAUUCGGGUAGUAUUGAUGGUGCCAGCACAAGUGGUACAAACAAAUUUAAAAAUGAAAGAAAUUGUUUUAGUGAUAGAUACUUUUCAGAUGAUAAAUAUAUAAGUGAAAAUUCGGAAGAUAGAAAGAAGAAGAAAAAGAAGAAAAAAAAAAAAAAAAAAAAAAAAAAAAAAAAAAAAAAAAAAAAAAAACGUACAUGUAUAUAUAUAUAUAUAUAUAUAUCAAUUGUACAUGGUAUUGUGCAAAACUUUUUUAUAUAUUCAUUUAUUUAUAUAUGCAAUUAUUUUUUUUUUACAAAAACGCUUAUCAUCGCACUUUUACUUAAAAAUAUAAAAUACUUCUGUGAGUGAAGCCAUUUUUAUGGUUGUAUACACAUACUAAACAUACAUACACAUAUAUGCAACAUAAAUAGAAACAAUAUACAACAAUGUGUAACGACAUUUAUAAAAAGUAUGCAAAAUAUAUUAUUACCUUUAAAAUUGUAGCAAGAUUCAUGUGGCAUGUAUAAAAGGAUGAGUAUAAAGCUAUUAUUAAGGCACACAAAGGUUCAUUUCUGAAUGUUAAUGCUGAAAAAAAAAAAAAGAAAAUUACAAAACCGUAUAUUAAAUGAUACAUUAAAUGGUUGAUUAAAUAACUAAUUGAAUGAUGCAUUAAAAUAUUUUUGUUUCAUAAAAAAAAAAACAAAAACUAAAGUGAAUAUUGUUCCAUUUUUAUUAAAUUCCUUACUUGAAGUGUAGAAAUAAUAUUGUACAAGAUUGAACACAACAAAAACUAAUAAUUGUACUGUAAAAACAAAAAAAAAAAAAAAAUAAUAAAAAUGCAUAUAUAUUAUUGAUAUUAAUAGUU
Molecule: long non-coding RNA, 2456 nt
Filed under: Piliocolobus tephrosceles (Ugandan red Colobus)
Lineage: Eukaryota; Metazoa; Chordata; Mammalia; Primates; Cercopithecidae
Description: lncRNA (ENSPTEG00000026690.1)
Source: RNAcentral